RNAcentral lists this non-coding RNA (89 nucleotides) under Bacillus sp. (in: firmicutes). RNAcentral describes it as "Bacillus sp. Glycine sequence". It matches the Rfam family "Glycine riboswitch aptamer". Rfam says of the family: This family represents the bacterial glycine riboswitch. Glycine riboswitches usually consist of two metabolite-binding aptamers domains with similar structures in tandem. The aptamers cooperatively bind glycine to regulate the expression of downstream genes. Lineage: Bacteria; Bacillati; Bacillota; Bacilli; Caryophanales; Bacillaceae. The record is from RNAcentral. RNAcentral also lists the same sequence under 1 other name.
AUGAUAACAAGGGGAGAGACUACCCAUUGUAGCGCCGAAGGAGCAAACAGAAAUGUGAAUCUCUCAGGCAAAAGAACACUUGUUGGACG